Molecule: ribosomal RNA, 254 nt
Filed under: uncultured bacterium
Lineage: Bacteria
Description: partial 16S ribosomal RNA
Rfam family: Bacterial small subunit ribosomal RNA
Source: RNAcentral
UACGUAGGGUGCAAGCAUUAAUCGGAAUUACUGGGCGUAAAGCGUGCGCAGGCGGUUUUGUAAGUCUGUCGUGAAAUCCCCGGGCUCAACCUGGGAAUUGCGAUGGAGGCUGCAAGGCUAGAAUCUGGCAGAGGGGGGUAGAAUUCCACGUGUGAGCAGUGAAAUGCGUAGAGAUGUGGAGGAACACCGAUGGCGAAGGCAGCCCCCUGGGUCAAGAUUGACGCUCAUGCACGAAAGCGUGGGGAGCAAACAGG